CCAGACUCCUACGGGAGGCAGCAGUGGGGAAUAUUGCACAAUGGGCGAAAGCCUGAUGCAGCAACGCCGCGUGAAGGAAGAAGGGUUUCGGCUCGUAAACUUCUAUCAACAGGGACGAAAGAAAUGACGGUACCUGAAUAAGAAGCCCCGGCUAACUACGUGCCGGCAGCCGCGGGAAUACGUAGGGGGCAAGCGUUAUCCGGAUUUACUGGGUGUAAAGGGAGCGUAGACGGCAUGGCAAGUCUGAAGUGAAAGCCCGGGGCUCAACCGCGGGACUGCUUUGGAAACUGUUAAGCUGGAGUGCAGGAGAGGUAAGUGGAAUUCCUAGUGUAGCGGUGAAAUGCGUAGAUAUUAGGAGGAACACCAGUGGCGAAGGCGGCUUACUGGACUGUAACUGACGUUGAGGCCCGAAAGCGUGGGGAGCAAACAGGAUUAGAUCCCCCUGUA
Molecule: ribosomal RNA, 447 nt
Filed under: uncultured bacterium
Lineage: Bacteria
Description: bacterial SSU rRNA
Rfam family: Bacterial small subunit ribosomal RNA
Source: RNAcentral